GCAUCAAACCCUAAAACUUGAAUCAGUUUACAACCUCAAAACCGCCCUCCAACCUUAUCUCAACGUAACCCCCGUCUUCUUCGUACAACACAUCGCAAAACCACGUUCAAAACCAAAAGACCUUGCUGUAGUUUGUGGGAUGUGAUAAUUGAAUCACAAUUCAUUAUAUACCGGUUAAACAUCGUAAUCAAAAUUGCAUUUUGAAUCCACUCACUUAUAUCUCUGGAGUUCCAGUCGUGUUGGCACCAACCCACCCGCAUAUCACAACCACCGGUCACCGCUUACUGCCGCCGUGAACCAGCCGGAUUUGGAACCGUCGUACCGCCGCCACAACUCCGCCGUAACCACCCCUCCGCUUGUUUCCGUUCAAGUCAGUUUUGCCAGCCACCUCUGCAUAAGUUUAAUCAGCACCGUCCCAUUUAGAUUUGCGCCGCUCCGUCUGAUUAGUUGAGGCUCUCGUACGUUUUGAGGAGGACUUGAAUUGUAUUACUUUGCUUUGCUUGCUAAUAAGGUAAUCUGGGAUAUUAUGGGAUUUCAGUGAGGAGCGUUAGGGAGUUGCUGACCAAGAUUCUUUAUUUCAGUAACGUAAUAAAAUAUAAUUGACCUCCGACUUAGAUUUAUUGGUGAAAGUGAAAUUGAAAUUGACGAAAUAAAGAAGGCUGUAUCUAGUAUUGUGGGUGUUGCAUCUGUUUCGGCUCAUAAAGGAAUGGGAAAACUAACCGUCACUGGAUAUGUUGAUCCUGUAGAAGUGGCAACCUGUCUGAUGGAAUUUGACCACAUGAUGGUGGAGAUCGUAUCUGUUAAAGUAGUAUUUAAUGAAAAAAAAGAGAGUAAUCUUAUAAGUUACAAAUAGUAUUCGAAAAAAAUUAAGACCUGCCUGCAUAACUUUUAAUCCGUUCAUAGUUACGAAUGGUAACAUUUGAAGAUUUUUAAGUAAUUUCCUACUUUUAUUUGAUGGUCAUUAU
Molecule: long non-coding RNA, 965 nt
Organism: Helianthus annuus (common sunflower)
Lineage: Eukaryota; Viridiplantae; Streptophyta; Magnoliopsida; Asterales; Asteraceae
Exons: 4
Source: RefSeq, a predicted model, not a curated record